Molecule: unclassified non-coding RNA, 334 nt
Filed under: soil metagenome
Description: partial contains 5.8S ribosomal RNA, internal transcribed spacer 2, and large subunit ribosomal RNA
Rfam family: 5.8S ribosomal RNA (bases 1-120)
Source: RNAcentral
GAUGAAGAACGUAGCGAAAUGCGAUAAGUAAUGUGAAUUGCAGAAUUCAGUGAAUCAUCGAAUCUUUGAACGCACAUUGCGCCCACCAGUAUUCUGGCGGGCAUGCCUGUUCGAGCGUCAUUUCAACCAUCAAGCCCCCGGCUUGUGUUGGGGACCUGCGGCUGCCGCAGGCCCUGAAAACCAGUGGCGGGCUCGCUAGUCACUCCGAGCGUAGUAAUACAUCUCGCUCAGGGCGUGCUGCGGGUUCCGGCCGUUAAAAGCCUUAUUUACCCAAGGUUGACCUCGGAUCAGGUAGGAAGACCCGCUGAACUUAAGCAUAUCAAUAAGCGGAGGA